RNAcentral lists this long non-coding RNA (5405 nucleotides) under Homo sapiens (human). Its description in RNAcentral is "HSALNT0243825". The record is from RNAcentral. Lineage: Eukaryota; Metazoa; Chordata; Mammalia; Primates; Hominidae.
GUGAGAGUUUAUUAAAAAGUUUUAGAGCAGGAACAAAAGGAAGUACACUACACUUGGGUCAGGCAGGCAACUUGAGAGAUCUAAGUGCCCUGCCUGACCCUUAACUUGGGGUUUUAUGUAUUUGGCAUAGUUCUGGGAUUUACGUCUCAUCUCCCCUGAUUCUUCCCUUGCAGCAGGCUGUCCGCGUAUGUGGUGACCUGCCAGCACUUGGAAGGGGUCGCAUGCACAGUGUGAUUACUGAAGUUGCGCGCAUGCUCACUUGAGGCAUUUUUCCCCUUACCAGUCGUGCGUUCCCAGAGGAAGGUAGGUCAUAUACUGGUUAAAUUCCGCCAUUUUGCCUCUUGGUGCGCAUGCUCCAGGCUGCUUGCCCAGCUCCUGAGAUCUUAUCGGGAAGCGGCUGAUCACCAGAUCAGGGUGUUUUGUAUCUAUUGAGAGACUGUCCUUGCUUGGAGCUGGCUGCAACCAAUUAUUAUUUUACAGAGACAGUUUAACAACCACCUGACCAUCACCUGAUGGUAGCCUGACAUUCCUGUGGGGGCCCUCACCUGUCCUGCUCAUGUUUGCCUAGCUCCCUACUCUAACAUUUCCACUCUGUGGACCCCAGGUUGAGAUCUUCUGCAGGGAAGACUGUCCUCAAAUAGCCUGCUGGGGAGACAUCUCCUUCCCGUUUACCUUUCCAUUUGCCCUUGCGGUGUUAGGCAAAGGCUGAAGCUGGCCUCUGUGGCAGAGGGUUUCUUCCCAACACGCCAAUGACGCUGGUGGAGAGUCUUAAAAACAGCUGUGCUGGGGAGAGUUCUUGGUGUGUACCUUUCAGAGACCUCCUCCUUAAGACUCUCAAAGACUGAGUCAGGCCAGUGGGAGCCUGGCAGCAAUUCUUAGGGGACAGUGACAGCUUUUUGAGGAGGACUAAUUGGCUUCUAGGGCUGGAGGCCACUUGGGUCUGACAGACUGCCCUGCUGCCAUCCCUCCAGGGCACCCCCCACUCCCUUGCCUCAGGGCCUUCCUGCACUUCUUCCUUUUGUCCUCAAUGUUCUUCACCCCACCUUUUCCACUGGUACCCUCUGCCUAUGGUCAAGGCUUUGGUGAGACCCACUUUCCUCUUAGACCUUCCUGGAUCCCCCAAAGUCUGUGUUGGAAGCCCCUCCCAUGUGCCCUUGUUUGAGCUUUUAAUUUUCCACCAUGACGCUUGUCACACUGCUUUGUAAUUGGCUCUCUGUUAGUCUGCAUCUCUACUGGGUUGUACCUUCCAGGAGGACAGCUGCCAUGUGACUCUUGUAAUCUUCCCACCGCCAACACCCAGCACAGCGUCAGGAACACAGAGCAUGAUGAGCACAAGCUUGUUGAGCAAACAGACAAAUAACUGGAUGCUUCUGUGCAGAGUUUCUCAACCUGGCCAUUAUUGGCAUUUGGGACUUGAUCAUGCUUGGUCGUGGGAGACGGUUCUGUGCCUGUAGGAUGUUUAGGAGCAUGCUUGGUUUCUACCCACCAGAUGCCGGGAGCACACCCACCCAGCUGUGACAACCAAAAAUGUCUCCAGACACCAUUCCAAAACCAGCGGGAGACAAAAUCGCCCGACAGUCGUUGCUUUAGUGAGUGAAUGUUGACCUAAGCGUCACUUCGCCUGUCUUGAGUCUAGGUCGGGGAGUGGGUUCAGUUAGCCAAUCAGAGAACGCUGAUGGGGCGACCAGUAUAUGCUCAUGAAAUGGGUGGCUGACCUCUUGGGGUCAGAAGAGGGAAAAGUUUUACUGUGUGUUGGCUAAGGACCAUUUUAAGUCCUUCAGUGACCGAUUACCACAUGAGAACACAAGAGGGCGCUCUAACUAAUGAGUUCCGCGGCCGAGAAAACUCCUGGAGUGGGUGCUCCUGGGAUGCUUCAGGUUUAGACACCGGGGUUACGGCAGCUGCCGAGGAAGGCUAAAGCCAGCGUCCUGGAUUCAGACAGACCUUUUAGCCAUUAAAUCCACUAAGAAAGAUCCCUGCGCAUGAAGUUUCCUCCUCGGAAAUAUAGGCAGAAGGGAAAGUAAUUUUAAACUCAUGUGUGCUCCACAGGCCGGGGGCGGUGGCUCAUGCCUGCAAUCCCAGCACUUUGCGAGGCCAAGGAGGGAGGAUCACUUGAGCCCAGAAGUUCGAGACCAGCCUGGGCACCAUGGUGAAACCUCAUCUCUGCAAAAAAAAAAUUAAAAAUUAGCCAGCUAUGGCGGCUCACGCCUCUGGUCCCAGCUACCCAGGAAGCUGAGAUGGGAGGAUCGCUUGAGCCCAGGGGUUCGAGGCUGCGGUGAGCCAUUGUUGUGCCACUGCACUCCAGCCUGGGCAACAGAGCAAGCCCCUGUCUCAACAAAACAAAACAAAACAAAAAAUUCAGUCGUGCUGCAUAAGUAAGGCACCAGGAGUAGGAAUAGGGUCUUUGCAGCUCCCGUGGCAAUUGCCCUUCUCUGGUGGUGGCAAGGGACUAAGGAACUCCCUGGACACAGGGGAUCUGGCUGUCCCCAGAUCAUCAACAGAGACAUGAAGGUCGUUAGAGGUCGUCUGAUCCUUUGACCUCAAUCUGAGCCCACCACUCAGAAAACCUGGAAAUUGUAUGACAUUUUCGUGAUACAACUCGGUGUGUGUGUGUUGGGGAAAGGAACCAACAGCUUUCAUCAUAUUGUCAAAAGAGUCUAGGCUGGGCAUGGUGGCUCACGCCUGCAAUCCCAACCCAAAGGCCUGUGGAGCACACAUGAGGACAAGGCGGGCAGAUCACCAAAGGUCAGGCAUUCGAGAUCAGCCUGGCCAACGUGGUGAAACCCCAUCUCUACUAAAAAUACAAAAAUUAGCCAGGCGUGGUGACAUGUGCCUGUAAUCCCAGCUACUCGGGAGGCUGAGACAGGAGAACUGCUUGAACCCAGGAGGCGGAGGUUGCAGUGAGCAGAGGUUGCGCCGCUGCAGUCCAGCCCGGGCAACAAGAGCGAAUCUCCGUCUCAAAACAACAAAACAAAAACAUAGACCUGCUCGGUUCUCUCUGUGACUUCAGAGGCCCAAGGAGUCCUCAGCACUAUAGAUGCAUGUGGCCCCUCAGAAGACAACAUUUCACAGAUCUGCAAAGAGCAAAGGUCAAAUUUAUUUAAUACAACAUCCACGAGGGUCCCUGCAGCUGUGUCACUGAGGCAAACAGGAAAAGUGAUUUUGGCUAGGCGUGGUUCUCAUCUGUGAAAUUCCACAGCGCAAUGACAGCAGCCUCUCUCCCACCCACUCAAGACACUGUCAGGAAUGUCUUAAGACCUCAGGAGACCACUUCUUUAGCAAGCAAUUUUGUUUUUUUUUUCAAUUAAGAAUAAUAUUUGCUGAUGGCACCAUCUUCCUGUCUUUCAGCCUUCAGCAUGGUAGAGGAAAAGAGAAAGAGUGUAGACAAAAACAGUUGAAGAACAUCUGUGCUUGUUCCACCUUCAUUUUCUGUUUUGUGCGUUGCCUGAAUGAACGGUGUCUUCAGGUUGGUAUUUCACAGGCGGUGCUCCCAAGUAGUCUGGUUUUCCCAUUUGUGGAGGGCGAGGUCAUAGAGGGGACAGGGGGAGGCUGUCUGGUCAGCACUGUGUAUUUCCAAAGAACAAGGACUAGCCAAAACUACAAGCCUUUGAAGGACCAAAGGAAAAGAGAAAAAACCAGCCUCUAACCAGGCCAUGCGCUAGAAAUGAUUGAGUAUAAAAAAGAAAAUUGGUUUCUGUGUAUGAGGGUGCAUGGAAAAGGUCUUUAUCUCUGCACAAAACAAAAUAUUCAAGUUUCAGAAUAUCCCAAUGGCCUUGCCCUGGAUCUCCUCUUGUGCUCUUCCAAUUUCCAAGGAUGUUCCAACUUGGUGGAAGGAGGGUAUGUGGGAAAUUCAACAGCCCCUCUGUAUCUCUUUCUACCCAACAUUAACUUAGCAGGAUGGAUUUAAGAACCGGCAGCUUAGCCUGAGGAAUUGCUGUGUUCUGUGGGAGCAGGGCAGGUUCAUAAAUAAGUGCACAGAGGUCUUGAAAUACAGGGAUUAUCUGUUCUUCUCGGAACAUGGAUGUCCUUCCAGGGAUGUGCAUCUGGCCUUGCUGUCUAAGUUCCAUCAAGGGAGCCUUCCGUUCUCUGUAGCGACAAGAAACAAGGCAAGUUAUGAUCACACCUCUCAAGAUUGAAGAUUGCCCUGGUGGAGAGAAAUGCAAAAUGACAGCACUUCUCAAAGAAAAUGCAAAGCAGGGCUGUCACACACUGGUCCCCCACCCUGCAGGGUUCUCUCUGUGACUUCAGAGGCCCAAGGAGUCCUCAGCACUACAGAUACACGUGGCCCCUCAGAAGACAACAUUUCACAGAUCUGCAAAGAAUAAAGGUCAAAUUUACUUAAUACAACACCCACCAGGGUUCCUGCAGCUGUGUCACUGAGGCAAACAGGGAAAGUAAUUUUGGUUAGGUGUGGUUCUCACCUCUGAAAUUCCACAGCACAAUGACUGCAGCCUCUCUCCCACCCACUCAAGACAUUGUCAGGAACGUCUUAAGACCUCAGGAGACCACUUCUUUAGCAAGCAAUUUUUUUUAGAUGGAUUCUCACUCUGUCACUCAGGCUGGAGUGCAGUGGCGCGGUCUCUGCUCACUACACCCUCCCUCUCCUGGCUCCUGCCCGUAUGUAUUUCUCCUUCUCUCCAUGCCUGCUCUGUAGGGACCAUAGCCUCUGUCCCUGCAUACAUGUUGGACAUCAAUCACAUCAGUCCACCAAGUAACUUCAUCAAGCACCCAUGUACGCCCAGCACAGCGUCCCAAGGGUGCCCCACUUACCCACAGAAGAAGAAAGGCAACUUUGUAAGAGAUCUGACUUCUAGCUCCAGUUCUGUCUCUAGCUAACGUGAGAUGUACCCGUUUGAGGCCUGUUUUUUAAUUUUGAAAAUGAAGGACUGAACUUAGAUGGUCCAACUGAAAUGUUUUAAAAUGAUAUGAUUCUACCUUAAAAAGAGAAUGAAAUUCUGAUAUAUUUUCAACACAGGAAAACCUUGAAAACGUUAUGCUAAAUGAAAUAAGGCAGACAUGAAAGGACAAAUAUAUGAUUCCACUUAUGUGAUGUACCUCAAAUAGUCAAAUUCAUAGAGACAGAAAGUAGACAGUGGUUGCUAGGGGUUGCUGGAGGGGCAAUGGGGAGUUAGUGUUUAAUGGGUACAGUGUUUCAGUGGCUGCUCUGCCUAUGGAGUAGCCAUUCUUUUGUUUCUUUACUUCUCUAAUAAACUUGCUUUCACUUAAAAAGAAAAAGCUCUGGAGAUGGAUAGUGGUGGUGGUUGCACAGCAAUGUGAACGGACCUAAUGCAACUGAAUUAUACACUUUAAAAUGGUUAAGUAUACACUGGAAAAUGGUGAAUUUGCCGGGCGGGCGCAGUGGCUCACGCCUGUAAUCCCAACACUUUGGGAGGCCGAGGCGGGUG